CCUACGGGAGGCAGCAGUGGGGAAUCUUGCGCAAUGGGCGAAAGCCUGACGCAGCAACGCCGCGUGCGGGAUGAAGGCCUUCGGGUUGUAAACCGCUUUCAGCAGGGAAGAAAUUGACGGUACCUGCAGAAGAAGCCCCGGCCAACUACGUGCCAGCAGCCGCGGUAACACGUAGGGGGCGAGCGUUGUCCGGAUUUAUUGGGCGUAAAGAGCUCGUAGGCGGUUCGGUAAGUCGGGUGUGAAACCUCCAGGCUCAACCUGGAGACGCCACCUGAUACUGCUGUGACUAGAGUCCGGUAGGGGAGUGUGGAACUCCUGGUGUAGCGGUGAAAUGCGCAGAUAUCAGGAAGAACACCAGCGGCGAAGGCGGCACUCUGGGCCGGUACUGACGCUGAGGAGCGAAAGCGUGGGUAGCAAACAGGAUUAGAUACCCUGGUAGUCCACGCCGUAAACGUUGGGCACUAGGUGUGGGUCUCAACCAACGAGAUCCGUGCCGCAGCUAACGCAUUAAGUGCCCCGCCUGGGGAGUACGGCCGCAAGGCUAAAACUUAAAUGAAUUGACGG
RNAcentral lists this ribosomal RNA (564 nucleotides) under uncultured bacterium. RNAcentral's name for it is "bacterial SSU rRNA". It matches the Rfam family "Bacterial small subunit ribosomal RNA", at positions 338 to 916 of the family's 1533-position model. The record is from RNAcentral.